UACGGGGGGGGCAAGCGUUGUCCGGACUUACUGGGCGUAAAGGGUGCGUAGGCGGCCUGCUGCGUCGGUGCUGAAAGCGCCCGGCUUAACCGGGCGAGGCGUGCCGAUACGAGCGGGCUGGAGCCUUGGCGAGGGUGGCGGAACUCCUGGUGUAGUGGUGAAAUGCGUAGAGAUCAGGAAGAACACCCGUGGCGCAAGCGGCCACCUGGCCAAGAGCUGACGCUGAGGCACGAGAGCGUGGGGAGCGAACCGG
This 253-nucleotide ribosomal RNA is filed under the name uncultured bacterium. Its description in RNAcentral is "partial 16S ribosomal RNA". It matches the Rfam family "Bacterial small subunit ribosomal RNA", at positions 524 to 776 of the family's 1533-position model. The record is from RNAcentral.